Molecule: small RNA, 59 nt
Filed under: Lachnospiraceae bacterium TWA4
Lineage: Bacteria; Bacillati; Bacillota; Clostridia; Lachnospirales; Lachnospiraceae
Description: Transposase-1 RNA
Rfam family: Transposase-1 RNA
About the family: Lactobacillales (Firmicutes).
Source: Rfam by way of RNAcentral
CUAUAAGAGCUAGUCCAUGCGAUAACUUCCUUGUUGAAGAAUCGGAAUACUAGUGCCAA